CCAGCCAGUAGAAAUAAUCUUCAGUUGACCAACUUAGCUAAAGACAUUAAUAACUUGUUUUAAGUUAUAUUAAAUUAAAUAUAUUAAUAUUGUUAAAUGAUUUAAGUAAUACUCUAUAUAGGAACUAUAAACUAUUGUUGUGAAACGAAUACUCAAGUCCACAUACAGUUUAAUCAUCUAUCUCAGCUCUUCAGCAAGUUUUACCAAAGAGACUGAACAUGCCAUUUGCCUUGUAUAAACUCCCACCUAAUUUUAUGUGAAUUUGUGCAUCAAAAACCCACCACCAAUAGGAAUGUGACACAUCCCCAUGCACACUAACUCCCCCUAUGCACUUGCAAAUUUUCAAUUUUCUCUGGUCACUGUAUUGUCCAGACAUGUUUAAAUUUCUCAUCUGUGUUCAAUUUAAUAAGGAAACUUUGAUUUUCAUUUUCUUUAGCUUUUGUUUCAAAAGCUUUAAUAUUUUAUCAUGACUUCUAGAAUGAUGGUACUUUAUACCUGGUCUUGAGUGUUGGACAUUGUUCUCACUCUAACCUUAUUUCUGCUGUGGCUUUUGGGGGCUCAUUAACUGUCAUGAUCAUAGCAACCAUUGCUCAGUGUGUUAUGGAUUUCCACAUGCUUCAUGCAUCUUCUACUUCUGUCUUGUCAGCUGAAUUUCUUUUUCCUUAAUUGGGAAUGAUCUGUUAGACUACAUCCUUCACCUACUUUGAUUUUGUAUUGCUCUACUGUUUGUUAAAUGACCUUAUCCAUUCCAUAUUUUAUUGGAUUUCAUUCUGAUAUGUUCAUUUCCUUCUCUUUUUGGGGACUGUGGCUUCUCUAGAACCCCUCCUUCAUUUGAGGUAUGCUCUCAUGUUUCUCCUACAGUGGACGUUAUGGACCAAGAGUUGUCCUUCUUGGGGUCCUUUCUCCACUUUUGUGAGCCUCUCAUCUAUGAAUUGUCAGGGUGACUAAACCAUGUCUUUCCUACUUUCUACAUUCCCUUACCGCCUCUCAAACCAGAUCUCCCCCUUCAAUGCUUCUCUCAUGGAUUGAGAUACAUUUUUUGUGGAGGCAGAUUUCCAAACAUUUGUACAUUGAGCUAAUGUCCACUACCCAUCAGUAUGUUCAACUUUCUCUCUAUUUAUCGGGCAUAUUCCCAUUCCUGCUUCUACUGGUGGUUUACUAGGUCACAUUCCAUUUAAUCUUUUCCACAGCCUUUCCUUGCUCCAACUGCAUUUGUGGCUUCUAUUAGGACAUUUUUUUUAUUUUUAGGCACUAACUAUACACUUCUAUGCUUAUUUACAAUCUUUAUGGGAAUUUACUUCUUGUUGGUGAGUCACCUCUCUCAGCCAGUCCUUAUUCUGUCAACAGAGUAGCCUCUGCACCCCCCAGAUCUUCUGUGGGGUUUACUUUUGGUUGGGCACUUUGCCACCCAUCUUUACUCCAGACUUUCUCGCUUACAGUCCUCUCUUGCUCUUCCUUCAGGUCUGACUUUCGUUUUUCUGAUCCAGACCUGGUUUUACCUAUUUCUUUAUACCUACUCCCUUAUUCGUCUCAUCCUUCUGGGUCCCAGAUUUACACACUACUAUCCUUCUUGGGCUCUCUUGUUGGCAGCUCUCUGACUGCCUUGACCUUGAUAUAAUUAUUAUUUGACUUUCCCUUCCCCUCACUAUUAUCCCUUCUCUUUUUUGGUUCACACUCUCUCACUUCUUCAAUGGUGAUUAACCUCCCUCUACUCUCAUGCAUGAAAUUUGCUCAGUCACUCACCCAUUGCACCAUUUCUGUGGCAUUAUGCUUAUAACAUUCUUCUCGUCCUUCCACUUUAUUUGUCUGUUGCAAUUGUUGGUAUGUCUUUUAUCAAUGGUUCUUCCACCUCCCAUUUCCUUCUGGUGGUAAUUCUGUGCACCACCUUUCUACCAUUCUUACCAGCCUGUUCAUCAAAGGAUUGUAGGUCUCAACCUUUCUUAGUUAUCGGGUGGCCAAGGUACUUUCCCAGAACCUCAUACUCAUUUUUCUGUACUGCUCCUUUGCUCUUCUCUGUCCUCCUUGCCCUGCUUCCUUGUGACUGAGAUCUUGUUAGGGUUUUUGCUCAAUUACAUACAUGCCCUAUUCGAGCUGUUGCUUUCCUGCCUUUUUUUUAAUGUCUUUUUUUUCUUUUGAAUUGUUCCUUCUUUCUUAUUUCCUACAUUUACCAUUGUUCUGAUGUCUAUCUUCUUAAUGCUUUUCACACCCUCUUCUAUUGCAUUUCUUUCCUUUCCCUGGACCAAUUCUUUCUUCCUUGGACUUGGACUGCUCUGGUGCAAACUGUACAUCUCUUCCAUAUCUGUACUGUUGGGCCAUCCAGACCUAGCUCAACUUCCGUCUCUUUCCCGGAACUCCUGUUUUCCAUGAACUUCAUUCCUUCUUCCUUUCCCAAGAUGGGUCCAUUGACCAACCUGGUGACAUUUUCAUCUCAGGAUAUUGAUGCUUGCAUUCUAUUCAUCGCCCUUUUCAUCCUCAUCCACCUCUUCUUCACUGGCCAUUGGAUGGACUUUUCCAGAUUGGCUUGUAAACUCUCUUCACACAUUCAUCUCCACCUCUGUAUCUUCUGGCUAUUUUAUUUCCUGACAAUUUUCUGCUUCUAUGGAUCGUAUUUCUUCCAUUUCCUCAUGUCUUUGAGUAGAAUGUGCACCAUUUCCCUUUCAUGACCCUUCUCUCAAUCGAUAGGAUCCUAUUAGGUGGCUAGUGUUGCCUCCCAGGAUAUACUUGCUCAAAAUCUUCAUCAAGACAGGAUAGUGGAAAGAGUUCAUACCAUCUGUAUUGGCUGUACAUGUGCCCACUAUGAGAUGGGGUGUUCUGCAAGAGCACUUGAGGUUUCCUCAUGAUAUAUAUAUAUUUCGAUCUAUAUCACAUUUCUUAUCUGAUCCAGACCAUACCUAUUUUAUGGACUAUCAUGGAAAAAGCCAGCACCUGAGCAUUGUUUCUGCCAACUUCUCUGGCUUGUACUUGCUGGCUUUCAUGAUCACCCAUUGAACUGUCUCUGGUAAAAAACCUUUCUGGACUAAACAACCGAUUGAGAUCUGAGCAUAUUCUCUGCAUUUUCCCUAUACAAAUUCUCCCCCGCCUCAUAUAGUGAAAUUUGGGAGGCUCUUGCCACUUACCAGUUCCUAGCUCCUGGAGUGGUGUACUAAGGGGAAUCCUCAUUGAUUGGGAUCUAACCACUGGGUCUAGAAUAAGGAGUCCCAUUAUGGUGAGAAGUGGGGCUGUGGUGACACCGAGAGUGUAGUGCGGGUCACCCCACAUAAAAAUCUCUGAUAAGUCACUAUUGCAAACUACACAUGGACUGAUGAUACAACUCCCUAUACCAGUCCAUUCAAUAUACCUAUAUCUCACAAGUUCUCCUCUUUUAACCAGUGUCUGUUCAAUAGUGUCAAGGUGAACACACUGUUAUCGGUCAAUACUAAAUCUCAAAUGUACCCUAUUCCCGCAUCUGGCAAGGGGCUUAUAAUGACUGACAGUAAAGUUGAAGUGAGCACACCAUACAUAUCUGUAAUGUAUCUCUCACAUACCCUACUCCCACAGCUGGAAGGGGCCCGUAGAGAUUGACGGUUCAGUAGUGUUGUAUGUAACUAUCCAUGCUGAAACAGAUUCAUACAGUGCUCUCCUCCUGCAGCUGGUUUGGGACCUGUAGAGACUGACGGUAGUGAAGGUGAGCAUGGAUACUUAUCACAAGUGCCCUUCUCCUAUAUCUGUCCAGUCUAAUGGUAGAAGAGAUGAGCACACAAUGUAUGGUUUGAAUGAGCCCCAAUCUCACUGCAUAUAUUGUCUGUCUGACAUCUUGUGUGCAAGUACUCGGACAGCAAGGUACAGAUUCUGUCCACCCAAGUGACACAAAUGUGGCUUAUUUGCCUCUCUUUUUUUCAUCUUCAGGCAAAGAGCAUACCCUGGAGGAUACGAGAUGCAGUCUCCCAUGGGUGUGUCCCUGUCAUGAGGUGGCACACCCCAUGGCCUUCCUUCAGACACCUUCUGAAGAGGGUUCAUUUAGGUAAUCUUUCACCAGUACCUCCACCAUCUCAACGUUGGAUUCUAGCUAAACUUUGGACAUUGGUAAAGCUACUUCUUUGAAAACAAUGGAAGGUCAAAAAGUUUCCAAAGUGACACUACCCAAAGCAACAGUCAAGCCCAUAUUGAAUCAUCCUGAUUCUGAUCUUCGAUGGAAACAGCUAGAGAAAGAACUCGAAGAAGCUCGCAAAGAAGCAGAAAACUAUCGAGUGCAGCUUCAACAAAAAGAACAGGAAGCAGAGCAGUACCGAAAACAACUUGAACAAAUUCGCACAAAUAAAUUACAAUAGUAUUGUACUGUCUGGUAAUUUCUCAUUCUGUGUAUUACACACAUAUAUACACACACACACACACACACACACACACACUAUAUUCAUCAUCAUCUUGCUGUACAUAUUUAUACAAAUUAUUACUGAAUUAAACUAUUAUGUUUUUUCUAUUG
RNAcentral lists this long non-coding RNA (4459 nucleotides) under Limulus polyphemus (Atlantic horseshoe crab). RNAcentral describes it as "uncharacterized LOC106474811". The record is from RNAcentral. Lineage: Eukaryota; Metazoa; Arthropoda; Merostomata; Xiphosura; Limulidae.